AAGUCCCGCAACGAGCGCAACCCUUGUCCGCUGUUGCCAUCAGGUUAUGCUGGGCACUCUGCGGAGACUGCCGGUGAUAAACCGGAGGAAGGUGGGGAUGACGUCAAGUCAGCAUGGCCUUUAUGUCUGGGGCUACACACGUGCUACAAUGGCCGGUACAAACCGUCGCGAGCCCGCAAGGGGGAGCUAAUCGGAGAAAGCCGGUCUCAGCUCGGAUUGCAGGCUGCAACUCGCCUGCAUGAAGUUGGAACCGCUAGUAAUCGCGGAUCAGCACGCCGCGGUGAAUACGUUCCCGGGCCUUGUACACACCGCCCGUCACAUCACGAAAGCUGGCUGUACUAGAAGUCGCUGCGCCAACCCGCAAGGGAGGCAGGCGCCUAAGGUAUGGUUAG
Molecule: ribosomal RNA, 392 nt
Filed under: uncultured Acidobacteriota bacterium
Lineage: Bacteria; Pseudomonadati; Acidobacteriota
Description: bacterial SSU rRNA
Rfam family: Bacterial small subunit ribosomal RNA
Source: RNAcentral